AUUGAACGCUGGCGGCAGGCCUAACACAUGCAAGUCGAGCGAGCGGCGGACGGGUGAGUAAUGUAUGGGGAUCUGCCUGAUGGAGGGGGAUAACUACUGGAAACGGUAGCUAAUACCGCAUACCAUCAGAUGAACCCAUAUGGGAUUAGCUUGUAGGUGGGGUAACGGCUCACCAAGGCGACGAUCCCUAGCUGGUCUGAGAGGAUGACCAGCCACACUGGUACUGAGACACGGCCCCGCCUCCUACGGGCGGCAGCAGUGGGGAAUAUUGCACAAUGGGCGAAAGCCUGAUGCAGCCAUGCCGCGUGUAUGAAGAAGGCCUUCGGGUUGUAAAGUAUUUUUGGUCGGGAGGCGUGACCGACAGAAGAAGCACCGGCGAACUCCGUGCCAGCAGCCGCGGUAAUUC
Molecule: ribosomal RNA, 406 nt
Filed under: uncultured bacterium
Lineage: Bacteria
Description: partial 16S ribosomal RNA
Rfam family: Bacterial small subunit ribosomal RNA
Source: RNAcentral